Molecule: ribosomal RNA, 253 nt
Filed under: uncultured bacterium
Lineage: Bacteria
Description: partial 16S ribosomal RNA
Rfam family: Bacterial small subunit ribosomal RNA
Source: RNAcentral
UACGUAGGGGGCAAGCGUUGUCCGGAUUUAUUGGGCGUAAAGAGCGCGUAGGCGGCUUUACAGGUCCGUUGUGAAAACUCGAGGCUCAACCUCGAGACGCCGGUGGAAACCGUAAAGCUAGAGUCCGGAAGAGGAGAGUGGAAUUCCUGGUGUAGCGGUGAAAUGCGCAGAUAUCAGGAAGAACACCCGUGGCUAAGGCGGCUCUCUAGUACGGUACUGACGCUGAGACGCGAAAGCGUGGGGAGCGAACAGG